AUUGAACGCUGGCGGCAGGCCUAACACAUGCAAGUCGAGCGGAUGAAGGGAGCUUGCUCCUGGAUUCAGCGGCGGACGGGUGAGUAAUGCCUAGGAAUCUGCCUGGUAGUUGGGGAUAACGUCCGGAAACGGGCGCUAAUACCGCAUACGUCCUGAGGUAGAAAGUGGGGGAUCUUCGGACCUCACGCUAUCAGAUGAGCCUAGGUCGGAUUAGCUAGUUGGUGGGGUAAAGGCCUACCAAGGCGACGAUCCGUAACUGGUCUGAGAGGAUGAUCAGUCACACUGGAACUGAGACACGGUCCAGACUCCUACGGGAGGCAGCAGUGGGGAAUAUUGGACAAUGGGCGAAAGCCUGAUCCAGCCAUGCCGCGUGUGUGAAGAAGGUCUUCGGAUUGUAAAGCACUUUAAGUUGGGAGGAAGGGAAGUAAGUUAAUACCUUGCUGUUUUGACGUUACCAACAGAAUAAGCACCGGCUAACUUCGUG
This 484-nucleotide ribosomal RNA is filed under the name uncultured bacterium. RNAcentral's name for it is "partial 16S ribosomal RNA". It matches the Rfam family "Bacterial small subunit ribosomal RNA", at positions 30 to 507 of the family's 1533-position model. The record is from RNAcentral.